Aethina tumida (small hive beetle) is the source of this 965-nucleotide long non-coding RNA. RefSeq lists it as uncharacterized. NCBI's taxonomy places the organism in Eukaryota, Metazoa, Arthropoda, Insecta, Coleoptera, Nitidulidae. The transcript has 3 exons. The record is from RefSeq and is a predicted model, not a curated record.
UCGCUGAAAAUUUCGGCGAACUAUAUUUCUUAUGUUCAGGGUGUACUUUAAGCCACGCCUUCAGCUUAGUAACAAGCACGGUCCUGUUAAUUCCAUAGGUGGCCUUGUAGGUAGUUAGCAUCAACGCCGUGUGUGUGCUGAGGGCAUUCCAUCUAUAUUUUUAGAUGUUUUUAGUUAUUGCGAUUAAUUUAUAGGUUUCAAUUAAAAAAAAACUUGUUUGAAUGAUCAUGGUAUUUUUAGGAUACUUCAGUAAAUAGUAAAUUGAACUGUUCCUCAAUAUGGAACGGCAACGUUGUACACCUGUAGUUAUUUCAAAUCUUUAUAGGGGGCGGUGCAUAUUUAUUUGGACGCAUGCGCAGUAAAUCCUCCCCUCCAACACCGCCAUUUUAGAGUUAGAACUGAACAGUCACGUUUUCCGGUUGUGGUCUUACAGUAAAAGAGUGGCAGUAAAUCCAGUGCAUCAAAAAUAUUAACAAUAAAUUUUCAUGCGGUUACGUUCAAAUAAAACAUUGAGAUAGUUCAAGAGUUCGUGUUGUUGCUGAGUAAUGUGAUAUUUCCAAAUAAACAACAAGUUAGGAACGGCGAAGCCAUCUUUCCUUCUGUGAACCAAACAGUUCGGAUCAAUCCAUUCUUAAAUGAACUACUGGCAGUGGUCAUGGAAAUCAUGGACUACUUAACCUUUAUGCUGUGCGUCAUUAGGACCCUCCUGGAAUCUACUUAAGAUGCUAACGAUUCCAAUAAGAACACACCCUAAGAAUGCUUCAAUAUUACCAUCACAUCAAAAAUCACAAGGAGGAGAAGUCAUCAGUGGUCGAAGAAUGUCAUCAGUGUCGAAGAAUGUGCUUAAAGGACAAUAAUAGUAUUACCUUUCGAAAGGUAGGAUUCAUUAUUAUCUAAAAUGAAACUUUAUACUGACUUAUGUCUUAUGACUAAGUAUUCCAAUAAAAAUGUUCCAUCUAAAUUUA